RNAcentral lists this ribosomal RNA (253 nucleotides) under uncultured prokaryote. RNAcentral describes it as "partial 16S ribosomal RNA". It matches the Rfam family "Bacterial small subunit ribosomal RNA", at positions 525 to 777 of the family's 1533-position model. The record is from RNAcentral.
ACGAGUCUCACGAACGUUAUUCGGAAUUACUGGGCUUAAAGGGUGCGUAGGCGGUGGAGUAAGUCGGAUGUGAAAUACCAUAGCUUAACUAUGGAACUGCACUCGAUACUACUUUGCUAGAGUAAGACAGAGGUGAGUGGAACUGAGGGUGGAGCGGUGAAAUGUGUUGAUAUCCACAGGAACACCGGUGGCGAAGGCGACUCACUGGGUCUUUACUGACGCUGAUGCACGAAAGCUAGGGUAGCAAACGGGA